UGUUUACUUAUACUUACCGUCAAGUUUAAGGGUCGCUAUGUAUCAUGCCUUAACUUAUACGGGCCUUUUAUCCUACCCCUAAAUAGACACGUAGCACCCGUUUUCAAGCUUGAUUUCAUUCCGACCCUAAUAUCUUCUUCAUCGCUACCUCUUUCUCUGCUGAUUUUGUAUAUCUCUAUUUGAAUUCUCAAUAAUAUAUAAAUCGGGAGGAAUUGCAGACGGAAAUUGUUCAGGGAUGAAAAAGAGGUUAAGAGACGCGGGAGAAGAUUAUCUACUUGUGCCUUUGAUAUUCUCACGGUGAAUUGGAGAAUAUCAGGUAGUUGAUAGACAGCUGCCACGUAAUUUCUUUUUUAAUUCAUUGUUUUUUCUCUUUUUAGCUUUAAUAUCUUUUGUGAUUUCUGUGUUUGAUAUAGAUUUUAACUUUUUAAUCCAUUCCAAUUAUAACAGCUGUCGAUUCAGAAUUUGAAAUUAUCAAGUUUCAUGUGAUUUGAAUGUUGGAUAAUUUUGAUAUUACGCUCAGAAAAUGCAGAAAAUUCAUAGUCGUUUAAUUUUCCUUUAAGUACUCAUUAAAUCUUUGAUGUUCAACACCUGCGAGUUAACGCCCCAGGCUAUAAGCUGGCUUUAAGGUUUGUCAGCCCACUUCCCUUGAGUAACUAUCUUGCCCUCAACAUUUAUAUGAAUGGAUGCAGGUAGCAAUUCUUAUUAACGCACCGACAACAAUAACGACUACGUUCUAAUCUCAAACUGGUUGUGCCUUAUUAACAAAACCAAAAUUUGAAAAUGUUACACCGAAGGUAGGAGACAAAAGCCACUCUGUUGUUGUACCUGUUAUUUGGAAGGUAGGUUAUUACUCUUAAGUGUAAUAUUUAUGAAGAUUUGUUUGUGGAUUAUUGGUUAAGAAAAUUUAUUGAUAUCUCUGAAAGGAAAUAAUAUAAAGUUGAGUCAAAUUGGGCGGUUGGGUUGUGACUCAUCAUUUAGCCCGUCUUGAUCUAACUUUUUCCAAGCAAGCUUCGGGCAGAGUUGGGCUUUGGUCAUGUUCAUACUUGAGUUAUAAUUGAGAGGAAAGUUAUACUUUGCUUUAGCACCUGAUGUCAAGUAACAGGAAGCAACUCCUCAUAUGUAUGUACUGGCAUAUGUAAAGCUGCAACACAAUUUCUUUGCCAUGACGACUUUUUUUAGGUUUUCCAUGUCUAUCGUAAAUGUAAUUAAUGUUCUGGAGAAACUAAAAGUAUGUCAUUCAGGUGCUGUUUCCAUAGGUUUUCGACAAACAUGCUUUGUUCUGAAGAGUUACUUGAUGCAUGGUAGCAAAUACGAUAGUUCCUUAAGAAGUAAGGAGGAUACCCAUGCUGAAUUAAAUGCAUUUUUUCAGAGCUGUGGGUGAGACGUGCUAGAUGAAAUAAUAGAUGCUAACUUCUUCGUCUUUGUGGAAAAACCAGCCUGCCGAAUGGAUUGACUAAUGCGUCUCAAAUUACUUCCUUUGGCAGACAAGAGGAAGAAAAUAGUCUAUGUGGAGUAUUUUAGCAAGAGGCUGAACUCAAGCAGAAAGAAAGCCAGAUGAAAUGGAGAAACUGGUAACUCAGUAACUGCUUCUCAAUAGAAAUGAAGGAAAAUUAUUUUACAUUUCUUGCCAUGAAUUUUCUGGACUUCAAAAUUGGUGUAAACAAAGGGAUGGAAAAGAGGUUAAGAGACGCAGGAGAAGAUUAUCUACUUGUGCCUUUGAUAUUGUCACGGUGAAUUGGAGAAUGUCAGGUAGUUGAUAGACAGCUGUCAGGUAAUUUCUUUUUAAUUCAUUGUUUUUCUCUUUUUAGCUUUAAUAUCUUUUGUGAUUUCUGUGUUUGAUAUAGAUUUUAACUUUUUAAUCCAUUCCAAUUAUAACAGUUGUCGAAUCUGAAUUUGAAAUUAUCAAGUUUCAUGUGAUUUGAAUGUUGAAUAAUUUUGAUAUUACGCUCAGAAAAUGCAGAAAAUUCAUAGUCGCCUCGAUUAACCAGAUCCCAUGGGAUAGCAGUCGUUUAAUUUUCCUUUAAGUACUCAUAAAUCUUUGAUGUUCAACACCUGGGAGUUAACGCCCCAGGCUAUAAGCUGGCUUUAAGGUUUGUCAGCCCACUUCCCCUGAGAAACCAUCUUGCCCUCAACAUUUAUAUGAGUGGAUGCAGCUAGCAAUUCUUAUUAACGCACCAACAACAAUAACAGCUACGUUCAAACUGGUCGUUCCUUAUUAGCAAACCAAAAUUUUGAAAAUGUUACACCGAAGAUAGGAGACAAAAGCCACUCUGUUAUUGUACCUGUUAUCUGGAAGGUAGGAUAUUACUCUUCAGUGUAAUAUUUAUGAAGAUUUGUUUGUGGAUUAUUGGUUAAGAAAAUUUAUUGAUAUCUUUAAAAGGAAUAUUAUAAAGUUGAGUCAAAUUGGGCGGUUGGGUUGUGACUCAUCAUUUAGCCCAUCUUGAUCUAAUCCAUCUUUGUUCAAGCAAGCUUCGGGCAGAGUUGGCAUUGGUCAUGUUCAUACCUGAGUUAUAAUCGAGAGGGUUAUGCUUUGCUUUAGCACCUGAUGUCACGUAACAGGAAGCAACUCUUCAUAUGUAUGUACUGGCAUAUAUAAAGAUGCAACGCAAUUUGACUUGCAUGUCUAUCGUAAAGGUAAUUAAUGUUCUGGAGAAACUAAAAGUAUGUCAUUCAGGUGCUGUUUCCAUAGUUUUUCGACAAAAUUCACAAAAUUAAGAAUUAGUGAGGGAGUUGAAGGAAAAGAAGUAUACAAAGAGUACAGAUAAAUUUAAGAUGAUUCACAUCUACAAAAAACCAGCCUUCGCGUUCAACUAACGGUGCUUACGUUGAGCUUUAGAGAUUGUCUCUGUUUGCUAUAGAAACAUGCUUUGUUCUGAAGAGUUACUUGAUGCAUGGUACCAAAUACGAUAGUUCCUUAAGAAGUAAGGAGGAUACCCAUGCUGAAUUAAAUGCAGUUUUUCACAGCUGUGGGUGAGACGUGCUAGAUGAAAUAAUAGAUGCUAACUUCUUUGUCUCUGUGGUGAGAACCGAAUUUGUUAUCCAUUUUUUAUGUCAAUUGAAUUUGAAAUGGAGAAACUGGUAACGCAGUAGCUUCUUCUCAAUAGAAAUGAAGGAAAAUUAUUUUACAUUUCUUGCCAUGAAUUUUCUGGACUUCAAAAUUGGUGUAAACAAAGAUUGAAGUAGUGAAUGUAUCAGUUGUCCAGUCGAGAAUCAAGAGAUGUUUUCUAAGUGACGAUGUCAACGACAUGAGAAAAUAAGAGAAUGUGAUGAGCUCCAAUUGUGCUCCAGGUGAGUUAAUUAUGUUCUAAUGUAUUUCUGGACAGACUGACAAGGCUUCAAUGCUUGAUGAAGCCAUUGUUUACCUCAAGCAGCUUCAGCAAGUUCAAGUCUGCUGCUUUUGUUUGUAAUUUGCUGCCUGUGAUUUAUGAUUCAUGGGUUUGGUUCUAGCUUUCUCUGGAUGUAUUUUAAGUGCAUUUGGCAAGAUGGGAGUUAUUUUCUAUGGAAAUUAUUUUAUGUGAAAAAAAUGUAUAUUAAAGAUUAAUACUAAUAAUUAGCAAAUUGGAUUGCGUCUUAAUGAGAUUCCUGAUUAUAAAUGAUUGACAAUAAUGUCCAAGAAUGCUGAUAGACCCAAGUUUUGUGAGAUUCAAAAUUAAGAUAGUUGCAAAGAAAAAUGAGGCACAACACCAUAAUGACUUCUUUAUGGAAACAUUUUGGUGGAAAAUAACCUCUGUCGUACCAUCAAACUUUAUUCUUUCAAUUAGAAAGAGUGGCUUUUGGCUCAAAGAGGCCUAGACAGGUGUGUUUUGGUGCGAAUCCAUCUAAAUUCGAAGUAUAUCUUGAGGAGCUAAAUCCUCUCUGCCUUUGUCUUAGCUGGUGCUUUUCCUGGUUGAAUAGAUUUUAUGAACAAAAUCCCGCAUUUUCAAGAGGACCAUUAUUGUUUGUUUGAUGACAGCUGAACAGAUUAAUGACCAUCUGUUUCCUGUUUCUGGCAUCUGGUACUGAAUAUUGAACACUUUCAUUUUACUGUUUUAGUUUGGGAUUCAACUUUCUCCACCAAUGGCACUGUGUUUCACGAAAGGACCAUUUUAGCAGAAUCAAGACCUGAUCAAAUACCUAUAUUCUCCUUUCAUGUUCAUCUGAACAAUUUUGGCUUUCUUUUUCUGCAAUAUUGAAUAGGAACUAAUGCUAUAUGUUAUUUAGAAUCGUUCAGUUGGCAGAUGACUGUUCUUUCUCCUUAAUUGGAUGAUCAGUUGUAGCAACCAGCGCGUGGAGUGACAUUGGCAUCAUGAGUAACGCAUUGGCUUGAAUAUGUUUGUGGAUAAUUUUGAAUGAAAUAACGAGUGUCCUGUUCUGUGAUUAGUGGUAAUUGAAACUGAAAAGACUAAUGACCAAUUAGCACUGACUUAUAUCCCUCCCUUCGUCAAUUUCAACGGCACAAACAGUGAAGAAAUGCAUAUUUCAUAGUCAACUUUAUAAGUCUUUCUACGCUAAUUUGAUGAAAUUAGCUGAACAAGUUAUUAUAUUUGCAGAUUUUGCGGAGUAAGUAGUUAUUACUUAAGUUACUUUAUAUAAUAUUUCUGCUUCGUGAAAGUGUUUAAUCUCCCCUGUUUCCAAUUCUUUGGAUAUUCAGUAGUAAGAAAAAUGUCAUCUUACUUGACAACAAAGAUAGACCAAGCCCGAUUCUUUUAAUGCCUCAUUACAAAAGCCGAGAUUAUAGUUUCAUUGAGAAUCCUUUUUUUUUUUUGGGGUGUCGUGUGCUUGGCUGCAGCUUUGAAUUAUAAACAAUUACUAUAAAUUUAUUUUUUUUGUCCGUCGUAUGUGAUUUUUUUUUCCUCGUGCUGAGAAGAUUGCACCAGAGAAAUUCUUAUUUACAAGUUUAUUAAGGCAGUGUUUAGACAGAUGUGUCCCAAUCUUUGCGGAUCAAAUAGUUUAAAUAUCACAAUUGAUAAAAUAAUUAAUAUGGUCAAGCAAAUAAGAUAAUAUUUUUUUCUCUAGAUGUGCGGGUACGAUACUAGUAAAAGAAAGAAAACAUCCUGUCGAAAUGAACAAAUGUGUUCCAUUUUUUCAACCAGUUAUUUUAAAUAUGGAUUUAUUUGUUAAACUUAGUAUAAGGGUAUUGAUGAUAGAUUUAAGGAAAUAAUAAAGGGUAAUUUUAUCUUUUGGUGUUUAACCUGUGUAUUGUUAUUCCAUGUUAUAUUAGGUAUAAAAUAAUGCACGCAUUAGUGUACGAAAUUAUAUCUAGACUAGUGUACUUGUCCGCACUUCGCGCGAUCUUGAAAAAUAAUGCUUUUACAAAUACAAAAUCAUAAACCUAAUGAUAUAAAAAUGAAAAAAUACAAAAAAUUGAUGUGGAUAAGUAACAUAAAGGUAUAGAUAUUAAUUCACACAUUUAAUCUAAAAUACUCUCCCAAUGUCAUUUUAUGUAAAGGUAUUAUUGUUGGUAAAGUCAAAUAAUUUUUUCUUUAAUUAAAAUUUUCUCAGAACUUUUUAAAGUACUUUGCUAGGCUAAUCUUCCAAGAAAAAAUGAACCAAAUUUAGUGAUAGACUAUUUAGUUUAAUGGGGAUCUCAUAACGAAUUAAAAAGUAGUAAUAAUUUUGAAGAAAAGUGUCACGCCCCGAACCAUGGCCUGGACGUAACACGGCACUCGGUGCCUGACUGCAUGUGACCGAGCGAACCACAUGACCUGCUGAAUCAUCAUGAUACAUAACAUAAGCGGAAUAUAACGUGAAUGCAUGAUGAGCCUUUAUAAAACGUAGUUAGCCAUAAUACUUAAUAAAGUACUUGUUUAAACAUGAGUGAGCCAAAAUGGCUAUACGACUCCAAAUGUCCGACAUGACAUAACUAACUUGUCUAGUCUAUGAAACCUCUAUUAUGAGUCUGACUGGAAAACAUACUUACUGAGACAAGGCCCCCAGCAUACCUUUAGAUUCAAAACUAAAUAAAGAAAUACAAUGUCUAUACUCAUUGAACUAGUGAAUGUGUCAGAUUGAAGUAGUGAAUGUAUCAGUUGUCCAGUCGAGAAACAAGAGGUGUUUUAUAAGUGACGAUGUCAACGACAUGAGAAAAUAAAAGAAUUUGCUGAGCUCAAAUUGUGCUCCAGAACAACACCUAGGUGCAGAUGCCUCUUUAGCAAUACAUUGUUCCUGCCAGUUUACACGGACUAUUAGCAAAAGUUUGUGUUCUGCAAUUUGCUGAAGAAAAUUGUCAUAUGGAUGAAACUUUGUUGGAAUACCAAGCGCACGCCGUGGCAAGGCAGAUAUCUUCUCUGUGAGAGCUCGCUAAUCAAAUAGUCGAACAGUGUGAAGCUUUAAGAGUAAAAUGUGCAGUAGUAAGCCUUUGUAUCCCUUUUUAGGUGAAGUAAGCAGAAAUGUUUAACAGAUUGUAAUCUCUUUGCCAACAAUUAGUUUUUAAAUUAGCUAAUAUAUGAGGCAAAGUUGGUGACUCAGAGGUGGAGUUAUGGAAGUGCAUGCUAAGUUGCUACCAAAGGAGCACCAGCUGCACGGCCGGUGGUCUACUGGUUAUGCUGAAUGAAAGUCACCCCCAGUUGAAACUCCACCUCUCUCCAAUCUCAAUGCCUUUGUUGAUUACUUCUGGCUGGAGAUUUCUACAUCAGUCACUGUCAUGUAAUACUUACAUUGCCUUCUACUUCCGUUAGUGUUAUUUGUAUAGCAGUAUUUCCUUUUGUUUCGUGCAAUUGAAAUGUGUCGACAGUAAUAGAAUGUAAAACUCUUUUUUGCUUUCUUGAGGCGAUAUUUCAUGUUGGGAAGAACAUUCAUUAUUUAUGAUAAAUCUGAUUUGAAAUAA
Long non-coding RNA from Lycium barbarum (goji berry), 6805 nucleotides. RefSeq lists it as uncharacterized. The transcript has 8 exons. NCBI's taxonomy places the organism in Eukaryota, Viridiplantae, Streptophyta, Magnoliopsida, Solanales, Solanaceae. The record is from RefSeq and is a predicted model, not a curated record.